RNAcentral lists this ribosomal RNA (157 nucleotides) under Adustoporia sinuosa. Its description in RNAcentral is "5.8S ribosomal RNA". It matches the Rfam family "5.8S ribosomal RNA". From Rfam's summary of the family: 5.8S ribosomal RNA (5.8S rRNA) is a component of the large subunit of the eukaryotic ribosome. It is transcribed by RNA polymerase I as part of the 45S precursor that also contains 18S and 28S rRNA. Lineage: Eukaryota; Fungi; Basidiomycota; Agaricomycetes; Polyporales; Adustoporiaceae. The record is from RNAcentral.
UAAUACAACUUUCAGCAACGGAUCUCUUGGCUCUCGCAUCGAUGAAGAACGCAGCGAAAUGCGAUAAGUAAUGUGAAUUGCAGAAUUCAGUGAAUCAUCGAAUCUUUGAACGCACCUUGCGCUCCUUGGUAUUCCGAGGAGCAUGCCUGUUUGAGUG